AAGUCGUAACAAGGUUUCCGUAGGUGAACCUGCGGAAGGAUCAUUUGAGGUGGGAGGUGGGUAGGAGGGGGUUUGAGGUGGGUUGGAGGGGGUUUGUUCCCUUUCCUUCCCUUCUUUUUCUCCCCCUUUCCACCCAACAAAAAGAGAUGGUGUGGUCAUUUUUCCCAAGUUGUGAUUCAAUUGCACACACAGAGAUGAUCCAUUGUUGUGGGGUUCACCCUUGGCAGUGGACAUGUGUUGUGUGUGGUUGGGUCACCAUUUGAUAUGGUUGAAGCUUAUCCCUACCCAUUUACAGGUGAGAAACAAAGACAAAGGAUUGUUAACAAAGAAAACAACUGUCAAUGGUGGAUCUCUAGGCUCGU
Molecule: unclassified non-coding RNA, 362 nt
Filed under: fungal sp.
Lineage: Eukaryota; Fungi
Description: partial internal transcribed spacer region
Rfam family: Eukaryotic small subunit ribosomal RNA (bases 1-46)
Source: RNAcentral